RNAcentral lists this ribosomal RNA (2628 nucleotides) under Klebsiella michiganensis. RNAcentral describes it as "partial 23S ribosomal RNA". It matches the Rfam family "Bacterial large subunit ribosomal RNA". Lineage: Bacteria; Pseudomonadati; Pseudomonadota; Gammaproteobacteria; Enterobacterales; Enterobacteriaceae. The record is from RNAcentral.
GUGAAUACAUAGCUUAUGGAAGGUAAACCCAGGGAACUGAAACAUCUAAGUACCUGGAGGAAGAGAAAGAAAAAUCGAUUUUCUUAGUAGCGGCGAGCGAAAGGGAAAGAGCCCAAACCGGAAAUUUAUUUCCGGGGUUGCGGACAGAACAUUAACGAGAAGUUAUGGAUAAUUGAAGAUGACUGGAAAGUCAAGCCAUAGAGUGUAAUAGCCACGUAAGUGAAAUUCAUAAUAAUCAAGUUCUGAUCCAGAGUACCACGAGACACGUGAAACCUUGUGGGAAGCAGGGAGGACCACCUCCCAAGGCUAAAUACUACCUGAUGACCGAUAGUGAAGCAGUACCGUGAGGGAAAGGUGAAAAGAACCCCGGGAGGGGAGUGAAAUAGAACCUGAAACCGUGUGCCUACAACCGGUCAAAGCCCCUUAUGAGGGUGAUGACGUGCUUUUUGUAGAACGAGCCAACGAGUUACGGUAUGUAGCAAGGUUAAGUACUUAAGGUACGGAGCCGAAGGGAAACCGAGUCUUAAUAGGGCGACUAGUUGCAUGCCGUAGACCCGAAACCGGGUGACCUAUCCAUGGCCAGGUUGAAGCGGGGGUAAAACCCCGUGGAGGACCGAACCACGUUGCUGUUGAAAAAGCAUGGGAUGAGCUGUGGAUAGCGGAGAAAUUCCAAUCGAACUCGGAGAUAGCUGGUUCUCCUCGAAAUAGCUUUAGGGCUAGCGUCGGAUAUGAGUAGUGGAGGUAGAGCACUGAAUGGGCUAGGGGGCAUAGCGCUUACCGAACCUUAUCAAACUCCGAAUGCCACAUACUAUUAGUCCGGCAGUCAGACUGCGAAAGAUAAGUUCCGUAGUCAAAAGGGAAACAGCCCAGAUCGUCAGCUAAGGUCCCAAAGUGUAAGUUAAGUGGAAAAGGAUGUGGGAUUUCUAAGACAACUAGGAUGUUGGCUUAGAAGCAGCCACUCAUUAAAAGAGUGCGUAAUAGCUCACUAGUCGAGAGAUCCUGCGCCGAAGAUGUCCGGGGCUCAAACUUACCACCGAAGCUACGGGUUCACACUUAUGUGUGAGCGGUAGAGGAGCGUCGUAAUCGGGCUGAAGUCGUACCGUAAGGAGCGGUGGACUGAUUACGAGUGAGAAUGUUGGCAUUAGUAGCGAGAUGUGGGUGAGAAUCCCACAGGCCGAAUAUCUAAGGUUUCCUCAGGAAGGUUCGUCCGCUGAGGGUUAGUCGGGACCUAAGCCGAGGCCGAAAGGCGUAGGCGAUGGACAAUCGGUUGAUAUUCCGAUACCACUACUGAUCGUUAUUAUCGAUGGUGUGACGGAGAAGGAUAGAGUGUGCUAGCUAUUGGAUGCUAGUCUAAGCGUUUAGGGAGUUAGGAAAGGCAAAUCCGUCCUAACAAUUCUGAGGCGUGAUGGGGAAGGUUCUACGGAACCGAAGUACUUGAUUCCAUGCUUCCAAGAAAAGCAUCUAGAGAGAGAUGUAGUGCCCGUACCGCAAACCGACACAGGUAGAUGAGGAGAGAAUCCUAAGGCCGGCGGAAGAAUCACAGUUAAGGAACUAGGCAAAUUGACCCCGUAACUUAGGGAGAAGGGGUGCCUGUGAGAGCAGGCCGCAGAGAAUAGGCCCAAGCAACUGUUUAGCAAAAACACAGGUCUCUGCUAAAGCGAAAGCUGAUGUAUAGGGGCUGACGCCUGCCCGGUGCUGGAAGGUUAAGGGGAACACUUAGCGCAAGCGAAGGUGUGAACUUAAGCCCCAGUAAACGGCGGCCGUAACUAUAACGGUCCUAAGGUAGCGAAAUUCCUUGUCAGGUAAGUUCUGACCCGCACGAAUGGCGUAAUGACUUGGGCACUGUCUCAACUGUGAAUCCGGCGAAGUUGUAGUGCGAGUGAAGAUGCUCGCUACCCGCGAUUGGACGGAAAGACCCCGUAGAGCUUUACUUGCCAUGAAUCUGGUGACAGGACAUUGUUAGGUGGGCAGUUUGACUGGGGCGGUCGCCUCCUAAAAAGUAACGGAGGCGCCCAAAGGUUCCCUCAGAACGGUCGGAAAUCGUUCGAAGAGUGCAAAGGCAGAAGGGAGCCUGACUGCGACACCCACAAGUGGAGCAGGGACGAAAGUCGGGCUUAGUGAUCCGGUGGUACCUCGUGGGAGGGCCAUCGCUCAACGGAUAAAAGCUACCUCGGGGAUAACAGGCUGAUCUCCCCCAAGAGUCCACAUCGACGGGGAGGUUUGGCACCUCGAUGUCGGCUCGUCGCAUCCUGGGGCUGAAGUAGGUCCCAAGGGUUGGGCUGUUCGCCCAUUAAAGCGGCACGCGAGCUGGGUUCAGAACGUCGUGAGACAGUUCGGUCCCUAUCCGUCGCGGGCGUAGGAAAUUUGAGAGGAGCUGUCCUUAGUACGAGAGGACCGGGAUGGACUGACCUCUGGUGCACCAGUUGUUCCGCCAGGAGCACAGCUGGGUAGCUAAGUCGGGAAGGGAUAAACGCUGAAAGCAUCUAAGCGUGAAGCCCACCUCAAGAUGAGAUUUCCCAUAGCAUAAGCUAGUAAGACCCCUUGAAGAACACGAGGUUGAUAGGUCAGAGGUGUAAGUGCAGUAAUGUAUGUAGCUGACUGAUACUAAUAGGUCGAGGGCUUGACCAA